This 3133-nucleotide long non-coding RNA is filed under the name Bemisia tabaci. RNAcentral's name for it is "lncRNA ENSSSA3NGG006229". Lineage: Eukaryota; Metazoa; Arthropoda; Insecta; Hemiptera; Aleyrodidae. The record is from RNAcentral.
GUUGGAAUGCUAGUAGACAUCAGACUCUGACUCAAAACGACAGUGUGCCCUCCAAUUUAGCUGCCGAUUUAGAGUCAUUGAAUAUUGAUACCCCAUUUGCACCGAACGGACCUGAAAUUGAAGACAAAAUAGAUGAGCUCUUCAGUGAAGGUAGUCAGGAGCUAGAGUUCUCCGAGCUCUUCUCGGAGUUGCAGAGUAUGAAGGAGCGAGUUGCAAAUUUGCCAUCCGAAGAAAGAAAAGCAUGCGCAGAAAAAGUUGUCAUGGCAUUCUGGAAAGCGAUUGGUGGAGAUGAUGACGAAAUAAAUUGUGAUGAUGAAGAAGGCUAACAAUAGUAUUGAUUGAGUAGUCCUCAAAAAGUUUGCAUGCUGCCUUGCACUGAACUCACGGUAGUCAAUGAUCGAAUGCCAGUUGCCGCUUUCGAGAACUUGUGUCCUUCCAGCACAUCUCAGAUCAAAGCUUUUUUCCGAGGAGUGGAGGUGGAGGUAUCAGAUUCUCCUCGGAUGUUGGAAGUUCUGAGUUCUGACUUUUCCUGUUGUUUGUAUUUAUUCUGUUUGUUGGAACUUCUGGGAUCAUGCAUAUCAAGAGACAAUGAUGUGUCUUUACGUAGAUUCAUUGUGGGAGAAUCUGUGGUUUCUCCCAUGGAUUCACUGGAAAAUGAGAAAAUAGAAAUAGUCAGUAGAAUUCAAUUGAAAAUUUUUUCAUCAAGAGAGAGAGAGACAUUUUUUCAACAGGAAAGAAACAUUUUCUGUUUGUGUAACUCAAAUCUAGCAAUGAGAUUGGUCGUGGGGUACAGGAGAUAUAACUUUUGUUUGAUGCAUAGUCGUACACGGCUGCACUGUGAAUAAAUUUUAUUUCUUAAACAUUGUUCGGUGAGAGAUUUACACUUGGUAUGUUGUUAUCUCUAAUCUUUAAACAAGAUAUUUUUUUUUUUUUUUUUUUUUUUUUUUUUGUCAAAGAAAGUCAUUUAUUGGAGUGUUGUUACAUGUUGUUUAACAAAUUAAAUAAAUAAAUAAAUAAAAGUAAAUAAAUAUUAGGAUGUGACUUCCCGAGACACGCCGGAAUUACCAGAAGGUAUAUCUUCGGCUGGAGGGGGGGGUAGGGGGUUAGCGUGUGUAGGGUUUUUGUAUUGUAGGGAUUUAAUUAGGAGAAUGUCUUUUGUAUAUUUUGGAUCGUAGUCCAGUUAAACUUACUAAUUUGAAGGGUUUUUUGAAAAUUAUCUGGGGUUAAUAUUGUAUUGAGUUCGGUAUCAAGAGUCAGUUUUUUGGCAAUGAAACGAGAGCAAAAGAAAAAAGUAUGCUCCGGCGUAUCUCGGUCAGUCACACAAAAUUUACACAUAUCAGUAUCUGUCUUUUUAAAUCUGUAUAAGUAGGAGCCAAAAACACCAUGCCCUGUGAAGAGCUGCGUCAUAUAAAAGUCCGGAUAUCCAUGCUUCCUCUUAAGCCAAGAUUCUGGGUCCGAGAUCAGCCGCUUGCACCAGGAGUCUCCCGGAUUUACCCUCCAACGAUCGCACCAUUCAUCAAUUAUAUCCUCGUGUAUGUCUUGAAAAUUUUCGGUUUUUAAAGAUCUUCUAUACUUUUCGUCUAAUAGUAGAUCCGUUGGAGGAACUCCGGAUAGGAUAUCAAGACAAUUAGCUGACGCAGUCCUAUAGGCCAUGCAGAGGGCUCGCUUGACAGGGCGCAAUGUCUUAGUGAUCUCAUUUAAAUUAUAUUUCAGUUUUAAAGCAGGCGAGUCUCCCCAGGCUGCAAUCCCGUACAAUAUGAUAGAGAACACAGCCUGGAAAAUCAUCAUUCUACGUUUAUACUGUGAGCCAAAACAGUUAGGAACAAUGGAGCGGAGAGCAUUGAUCGUCUUUUUAGCUUUGUUGCAAACCGUGUGAACGUGCUGGGACAUUCUCAGACCCUUGUCCAAAUGGAAUCCAAGGUGUCUGAGGGAUGUCCCGGCAUUAACCGGUACAUUAUCGACAAUAAUCUCUACGUCCUUCAAUCUUCUUGGCGCCUCUAUCAGUAGAGCCUCAGUUUUCGAGGGUUCCAAAGUAAGGUCUCUCUCCUGUAGACCCUGUUUAACAAUUUUCAUAACCCUGUCUGUUUCAAAUUGUAAGAAACUUGGGGAACAAGAUAUGACAAAAGUAAAUCAUCCGCAUAUGCAAUGAUUCUAGAUGGAUUAAGGUCUAAUUUAACAAUUUCAUCAUAUAUUAGGUUCCAUAGUAAAGGGCCCAAGAUCGAACCCUGUGCCGCUCCAGAGGUUAUUUUUAUCAGAGUACCAUCUGAGACCAGGUAUCUGUUUGAAAGGUAACUCUGUAUAAUUGCCAAAAUGUAAGGAGGGGCGAAUUGCUUUACUAAACAUUGGAUGACGUCUCUCCACCUAAGACUAUUGAAAGCAUUUUUCACAUCCACCCCUAUGAGACACAGAGUUUUCCUGUGUUUCCAGGGGAGGAGACGGUUCUCAUCAUAGAUUUUCCUGAGGGAGCGGAGCGCAUCGAGUGUCGAUCUCCCCCUACGGAAACCAAACUGAUUAUCAGAUAUUUUUACAAAACUUAGCAUUCUUUCAUAUAAUACAUAUUCUAAUAAUUUUGAAAAACUGCUCAACAUACAAAUCGGUCUGUAUUUCGUAGCUGGUGAAAGAGAACUCUUAGCUAUAAGUGCCAGUCUGGCAAUUUUCCAACUGUCCGGAAACUCUGAGGUAGCUAGAAGAGUGUUAAACAUUUGAAGUACUUUAUUAAUGUUGGAGGUGACAAAAGUUUUUACAAUUACUGGGUCGAUGUAGUCGGGCCUGGUGCCUUAUUAGGUUUCAAGCGACCGAGGGCACUUUUUAGUUCAUUGACAGUUAUGACAGGAAUCUCAUCUUUGUUUAUUUCAGGCUUAUCCCAGAUUAUUUCCGAAUGAGUAGGAAAGAGAUCGGAUAUUAAUUUCCUACUCUCCUGGGUUGACAGUGAGUGAACGUCGUGUUUUUUACUAUUUUUGAACCUAUACAUAACCGAUUUGUAUGCCCUUCCGUAGGGAUCUUUCUCGAGAUUGUUAACCCAACUUCUCCAGGUACUUCUUUUUGAUUUGGAAAUUUCAAAGGCGAGAAGUGAGCGUGCUUCCUUUAAUUUACUUCUCAGGAGAUUUGUAGGUCUCUGUAGGCCAUUGAAAAA